GGAUGUGAGGGUGAUCUGGCUGUGACAUCUAUCAUCCCAUUGAUCACCAGGGUUGAUUCGACUGAUCUGGCAGACUAAGCGAGGUGUCUCCUUCCUCCCGCACCACUCC
Molecule: unclassified non-coding RNA, 109 nt
Organism: Ochotona princeps (American pika)
Lineage: Eukaryota; Metazoa; Chordata; Mammalia; Lagomorpha; Ochotonidae
Gene: 7SK
Rfam family: 7SK RNA
About the family: 7SK was discovered as an abundant small nuclear RNA in the mid-70s but a possible function has only recently been suggested. Two independent studies have found that 7SK RNA binds the CDK9/cyclin T complex (known as elongation factor P-TEFb).
Source: Ensembl